This 497-nucleotide ribosomal RNA is filed under the name uncultured bacterium. RNAcentral describes it as "partial 16S ribosomal RNA". It matches the Rfam family "Bacterial small subunit ribosomal RNA", at positions 28 to 507 of the family's 1533-position model. The record is from RNAcentral.
GAUGAACGCUGGCGGCGUGCCUAAUACAUGCAAGUCGAGCGAACGGACGAGAAGCUUGCUUCUCUGAUGUUAGCGGCGGACGGGUGAGUAACACGUUGAUAACCUACCUAUAAGACUGGGAUAACUUCGGGAAACCGGAGCUAAUACCGGAUAAUAUUUUGAACCGCAUGGUUCAAAAGUGAAAGACGGUCUUGCUGUCACUUAUAGAUGGAUCCGCGCUGCAUUAGCUAGUUGGUAAGGUAACGGCUUACCAAGGCAACGAUGCAUAGCCGACCUGAGAGGGUGAUCGGCCACACUGGAACUGAGACACGGUCCAGACUCCUACGGGAGGCAGCAGUAGGGAAUAUUCCGCAAUGGGCGAAAGCCUGACGGAGCAACGCCGCGUGAGUGAUGAAGGUCUUCGGAUCGUAAAACUCUGUUAUUAGGGAAGAACAUAUGUGUAAGUAACUGUGCACAUCUUGACGGUACCUAAUCAGAAAGCCACGGCUAACUACGUG